Molecule: ribosomal RNA, 275 nt
Filed under: uncultured bacterium
Lineage: Bacteria
Description: partial 16S ribosomal RNA
Rfam family: Bacterial small subunit ribosomal RNA
Source: RNAcentral
GCGUGUGUGAAGAAGGUUUUCGGAUUGUAAAGUCCUUUCGGCGGGGACGAUGAUGACGGUACCCGCAGAAGAAGCCCCGGCUAACUUCGUGCCAGCAGCCGCGGUAAUACGAAGGGGGCUAGCGUUGCUCGGAAUGACUGGGCGUAAAGGGCGCGUAGGCGGACCUAUCAGUCAGACGUGAAAUUCCUGGGCUUAACCUGGGGGCUGCGUUUGAGACGGUGGGUCUGGAGUUUGGAAGAGGGUCGUGGAAUUCCCAGUGUAGAGGUGAAAUUCGU